UCUUCUUUAACAACAGAGCUUUACGAGCCGAAACCCUUCUUCACUCACGCGGCUGUUGCUCCAUCAGGCUUGCGCCCAUUGUGGAAGAUUCCCUACUGCUGCCUCCCGUAGGAGUAAGGGAAUCUCCACAAUGGGCGCAAGUCUGAUGGAGCAACACCCCUGAGUUAAGAAGGUUUUCGGACCCUAAGCUUUUUGUCUAAAUAUAAACGAAAGAGGAAGAACCUGGACAUUAUUGAAGGGUAAAAAAAAAUUGUCCCGGCUACCUUCUCGCGGGUUUUUAAUUUUCCUUUCUCCCCCCCCCCCCUUCCCCUCUCCCCCCCCCUUCCCCUUC
RNAcentral lists this ribosomal RNA (331 nucleotides) under Limosilactobacillus fermentum. Its description in RNAcentral is "Lactobacillus fermentum partial 16S ribosomal RNA". The record is from RNAcentral. Lineage: Bacteria; Bacillati; Bacillota; Bacilli; Lactobacillales; Lactobacillaceae.